UACGGGGGGGGCAAGCGUUGUUCGGAAUUACUGGGCGUAAAGGGCUCGUAGGUGGCCAACUAAGUCAGACGUGAAAUCCCUCGGCUUAACCGGGGAACUGCGUCUGAUACUGGAUGGCUUGAGUUUGGGAGAGGGAUGCGGAAUUCCAGGUGUAGCGGUGAAAUGCGUAGAUAUCUGGAGGAACACCGGUGGCGAAGGCGGCAUCCUGGACCAACACUGACGCUGAUGAGCGAAAGCCAGGGGAGCAAACGGG
This 253-nucleotide ribosomal RNA is filed under the name uncultured bacterium. RNAcentral describes it as "partial 16S ribosomal RNA". It matches the Rfam family "Bacterial small subunit ribosomal RNA", at positions 524 to 776 of the family's 1533-position model. The record is from RNAcentral.